This 429-nucleotide ribosomal RNA is filed under the name Pseudomonadota bacterium. Its description in RNAcentral is "Proteobacteria bacterium partial 16S ribosomal RNA". It matches the Rfam family "Bacterial small subunit ribosomal RNA", at positions 355 to 776 of the family's 1533-position model. The record is from RNAcentral. Lineage: Bacteria; Pseudomonadati; Pseudomonadota.
UGGGGAAUAUUGGACAAUGGGCGAAAGCCUGAUCCAGCCAUGCCGCGUGUGUGAAGAAGGUCUUCGGAUUGUAAAGCACUUUAAGUUGGGAGGAAGGGCAGUAAGCGAAUACCUUGCUGUUUUUACGUUACCGACAGAAUAAGCACCGCCUAACUCCGUGCCAGCAGCCGCUGUAAUACAGAGGGUGCAAGCGUUAAUCGGAAUUACUGGGCGUAAAGCGUGCGUAGGCGGCUAAUUGAGUCGGAUGUGAAAUCCCCGAGCUUAACUUGGGAAUAGCAUUCGAUACUGGUUAGCUAGAGUGUGGGAGAGGAUGGUAGAAUUCCAGGUGUGGCGGUGAAAUGCGUAGAGAUCUGAAGGAAUACCGAUGGAGAAGGCAGCCAUCUGGCCUAAAACUGACGCUGAGGUACGAAAGCAAGGGGAGCAAACAGG